GGGACCCGUCUUGAAACACGGACCAAGGAGUCUAGCAUGUGCGCGAGUCAUUGGGACUCUAAACGAAACCUAAAGGCGUAAUGAAAGUGAAGGUUCGCCUAGCGCGAACCGAGGGAGGAUGGACGGUCGUCAGUGGCCGUCCCGCACUCCCUGGGCGUCUCGUUCUCAUCGCGAGAAGAGGCGCACCAAGAGCGUACACGCUGGGACCCGAAAGAUGGUGAACUAUGCCUGGUCAGGACGAAGUCAGGGGAAACCCUGAUGGAGGUCCGUAGCGAUUCUGACGUGCAAAUCGAUCGUCGGAACUGGGUAUAGGGGCGAAAGACUAAUCGAACCAUCUAGUAGCUGGUUCCCUCCGAAGUUUCCCUCAGGAUAGCUGGCGCUCGCUUCUCGCGAGUCUCAUUCGGUAAAGCGAAUGAUUAGAGGCAUUGGGGUCGAAACGGCCUCAACCUAUUCUCAAACUUUAAAUGGGUGAGAUCUCCGGCUUGCUUGAACUGUGAAGCCGCGAGAUAUCGGAUCAGAGUGCCAAGUGGGCCACUUUUGGUAAGCAGAACUGGCGCUGUGGGAUGAACCAAACGCCGAGUUAAAGCGCCUAAAUCGACGCUUAUGGGAUACCAUGAAAGGCGUUGGUAACUUAAGACAGCAGGACGGUGGCCAUGGAAGUCGGAA
This 666-nucleotide ribosomal RNA is filed under the name Anomala dorsalis. RNAcentral's name for it is "eukaryotic LSU rRNA". It matches the Rfam family "Eukaryotic large subunit ribosomal RNA", at positions 644 to 1266 of the family's 3401-position model. The record is from RNAcentral. Lineage: Eukaryota; Metazoa; Arthropoda; Insecta; Coleoptera; Scarabaeidae.